CUCCGCGGCCUGCCAGCAGGGGGCAGCCGCACGUCUGAGUCCCGAGGCCGGCUGGAACCGGUCUGACCGGAAGCUUGGGCGUGGCCUUCGCUUCCGCUGCAGCGCGCCACGUGGCGGAGUGGGGUGAAGGGAAGCUGUGAGAAAACAACAAGAUGGCCGCACGGGGGAGGGGUGCGUCGUCCGCGCCCUUGAGGCAGCGACUGCGGGACCUCCGAGCGGGCGUUGUUUCCUGGAGGGAGCGAUUAGGUCCGCACGUACAGCAGAGCAAGGCCUACUAGGAGCCCGGCCAAUGCAUUCUCCCACCGCAGCUCCUGCACGGUCUGCAUGCUCAGGCUGCGGACUGGGUCGCCGGUUCCCACUGGCAUUCCGAUUCCCGGGGACAGCGAAUGUGGCAGAGGCCCAACUUCUGGGUCUUUGGUUUUUUCCCUUUAUUUUUAAUAUUGCCGUUGAACUUGAAUAUAGUUUCUAGUUUUAGUAAGAGAAAUGCACGUCUGUUGCUAUGUGUUAACACGGGAAAUAAAGCAGAACCUCCUGGCGUUCCCAGCGGUUCCUGGAAGGCCCGCCCCCCGCCCCCCAUCCCUGCCCAGGUCUUUGGAGGUCCACUCGUCCCAGCCCCACGGCGUUCGUUUUCCUUACCUGGCUUUGGGAGGCGGAGGAGCUAGAGGGAAGAAGAAAGUUAACACUUACUUAGAAAAUGAUGGCGUGUUUAGAAUAAGGUAUUUGUCGCCUUGGAGCUGCGAUUUAAGUUUCUAAGGACUGGCCAAGAACAAGGACUUCUACCUUGUCUCUCACACUCCUCCCAAAAUGUAUGCCUUGCACAUGGCGAGCACUCAAUAAAUAACUGCUUCAUGAAUGAAUGAAAGAACAAGUUACUAAGAAGUGCUCUUGGAGGACCUCGUGACUUAGUGGGGAGACAGCCUGGAUGCUGUGUGUCAUGCUCAUGCCUCAGACAGAAAAAUCCAAUUCCUCUUGUCUCCUGUGAGUCCUCAGAUUAAAUUUGCUGAAUUUAGCAAGUAAAAAUACAAGUUACUCAUUAAAUUUGAAUUUCAGGUAAACUAAAAAUAACCAA
Long non-coding RNA from Nannospalax galili (Upper Galilee mountains blind mole rat), 1069 nucleotides. RefSeq lists it as uncharacterized. NCBI's taxonomy places the organism in Eukaryota, Metazoa, Chordata, Mammalia, Rodentia, Spalacidae. The transcript has 3 exons. The record is from RefSeq and is a predicted model, not a curated record.